Drosophila grimshawi is the source of this 87-nucleotide small nucleolar RNA. It matches the Rfam family "Small nucleolar RNA Me28S-U3344". From Rfam's summary of the family: Me28S-Um3344 is a member of the C/D class of snoRNA which contain the C (UGAUGA) and D (CUGA) box motifs. NCBI's taxonomy places the organism in Eukaryota, Metazoa, Arthropoda, Insecta, Diptera, Drosophilidae. The record is from Rfam.
CGCACUGGUGAUGAAUACAAUUUGUAUAUUCUUGAUAGGAAGAGUAUGAAACAUAAUGAGUACUAACAAAAUAUUACUGAAUGUGCC